CAAACUUGAACACCAACUUACGCCAUACACAAAUAUAAACUCAAGAUUUAUAAAAGACUUAAAUAUAAGUUGCAACACAAUGAAAGUCCUAGAGGAGAAUGUAGGUAGGA
Phyllostomus discolor (pale spear-nosed bat) is the source of this 110-nucleotide long non-coding RNA. RefSeq lists it as uncharacterized. Lineage: Eukaryota; Metazoa; Chordata; Mammalia; Chiroptera; Phyllostomidae. The record is from RefSeq and is a predicted model, not a curated record. The transcript has 3 exons.